RNAcentral lists this ribosomal RNA (469 nucleotides) under uncultured bacterium. RNAcentral's name for it is "partial 16S ribosomal RNA". It matches the Rfam family "Bacterial small subunit ribosomal RNA", at positions 28 to 507 of the family's 1533-position model. The record is from RNAcentral.
GACGAACGCUGGCGGCGUGCUUAACACAUGCAAGUCGAACGGAAAGGCCCUUCUUGUGGGGUACUCGCGUGUCGCGAGGGUGAGUGACACGCGUGUAUCCCGCCCCUGACUUUGGGAUAUCUCUUGGAAACAGUGGGUCUAACCCCGGAGAGGAUCUCCUGGUGCGGGGUGGGUGGUAAAUUUUUUCGGCUGGUGGGGAUAGACGCGCGGCUUAUCAGCUUGGUGGUGGGGUGGUGGCUUACCAAGGCUUUGGCGGGUCGCCGGCCUGAGAGGGUGACCGGCCACAAUGGGACUGAGGUACGGCCCAGACUCCUACGGGGGGCAGCAGUGGGGAAUAUUGCACAAUGGGUGGAAGCCUGAUGCAGCAACGCCGUGGGCGGGAUGACGGCCUUCGGGUUGUAAACCGCUUUCGCUCAGGACGAAGCUGUGUGUGACGGUAGUGGGUAAAGAAGCACCGGCUAACUACGUG